This is a long non-coding RNA of Oncorhynchus keta (chum salmon), 469 nucleotides long. RefSeq lists it as uncharacterized. The transcript is spliced from 4 exons. The record is from RefSeq and is a predicted model, not a curated record. Lineage: Eukaryota; Metazoa; Chordata; Actinopteri; Salmoniformes; Salmonidae.
GCAUGAUAUUCAAAUGAAGGUGACAUGGUAUUCAAAUGAAGGUGACAUGGUAUUCAAAUGAAGAUGAUAUGGUAUUCAAAUGAAGGUAGCAUGAUAUUCAAAUGAAGGUGGCAUGGUAUUCAAAUGAAGGUGGCAUGGUAUUCAAAUGAAGGUGGCAUGGUAUUCAAAUGAAGGUGGCAUGGUAUUCAAAUGAAGGUGGCAUGGUAUUCAAAUGAAGGUGGCAUGGUAUUCAAAUGAAGGUGACAUGGUAUUCAAAUGAAGGUGACAUGGUAUUCAAAUGAAGGUGACAUGGUAUUCAAAUGAAGGUGGCAUGGUAUUCAAAUGAAGGUGGCAUGGUAUUCAAAUGAAGGUGACAUGGUAUUCUAAUGAAGGUGACAUGGUAUUCAAAUGAAGGUGGCAUGGUAUUCAAAUGAAGGUGGCAUGGUAUUCAAAUGAAGGUGGCAUGGUAUUCAAAUGAAGGUGGCAUGGU